Long non-coding RNA from Sapajus apella (tufted capuchin), 4401 nucleotides. RefSeq lists it as uncharacterized. The record is from RefSeq and is a predicted model, not a curated record. The transcript has 2 exons. NCBI's taxonomy places the organism in Eukaryota, Metazoa, Chordata, Mammalia, Primates, Cebidae.
CAAGUGAUCCACUCGUCUCAGCUUCCCAAAGUGCUAAGAUUACAGGUGUAAGCCACUGCGCCUGGCCAAAAGCAUUUCUUUAAAGACAUCAUGGUAUCUUUGUAUACUGAAAGAAAUUAGAGCCCCACCCCUCUUCAUUUCUGUAACUCAUAAGGAAAAGAAGAAUAUCAACUCUUGUGGAAAAUAAUUCAAAUAUUUCAGCAUAUUCUUUUACAGCCUCACUUUCAAUUAUCUUAUUAAACACCCUUUCAACAUCUUUUUCUGAAGAACUCUCCUCCCAAAUUUUACAUCUUAUUAAAUAGUAGGUGUUUAUUUAAACACAGAUAUUUGGUAAACAUUGAUUCCUUAAUUCGGCAACUAAGAACCUAUUAUGUGCCACAAAAAUACUGGUAGUGAAGCAAUGAAUGAAAAGUACCUCCUCUCAUGGAAUUUGCAACCUAGUGAACAAAGAGAGAGAAGAGAAAGCAGGUUGAGGGGCAUAAUGAGUGUCAGAGGUUGGAGAGGAAGGGAGCUUGCUAUUUUAUGAGUGACUAGGGAAGGGAUCACUGGUCAAAUUACAUCUGAGCAGACCCUGGAAGGAAGUGACAGAGUGAGCCAUGUAUUCAAAGGGAACAGCUCUCUAGGCAGAAGGACUAGCAAGUGCAAAUCCCUGAAGCAGGAACAUACUUGUUUUGUUCAAGGAACAGUAUGAGGCCAAUGCAGCUGCAACACAUUAAACAUAAAGAAUUAAGAAAUGAAGUCAGAGAAGUUGGAGGUGGGGGGAGGCAGGUCAUGUAGAAGGAACAUAAUCUGACUUUUUUUUUUUUUUAAUGAUGCUGCCUACUAGUUUGAGAGUAGACUGUGGCAGGGAAACCAGUUAGAGUGCUAGCAGAGUAAUCUAGGCAAGGGGUGGACCAUUUUAAUAAAGCUAGAAGUUGUGGGAAGUGGUCACAUUCUGUAACUAAUUUGAAGACAAAGCCACCAAAAUAUGCUGGUUGAUUAUAUAUGGGGUGUAAAAGAAUGAGAAGGAUCAAGGAUGUGUCCUAGGCCUGAGCAACUGAAACAAUAGGAAUUGAUGGGAAGAGCUGAGAGGUGAGGUUUGGGGUGAAGAGUCAGGAGAUCAGUAAUGGGCAACCUUCAGUUUAAAAGUGAUACAAUGAUAGAGGAAGAGAGGGCAUGCCGCUGAAUUUGCCAGUUUGGAAAUCAGGAGAGAGGUCCAGACUGGGGAUAGAGAGUUCUGCGUCAAGUAUGAAUAGUAUUUAAAUAGAAACUGGUUGAGAUCACCUAACGAAUGUAAGCAGGAAAAGAACAGAAAGGAAGGACAGAGCAGAGUUGACGAACCAAGACUUGGAGCAGCCCAAAUUUUAGAGAUUGGGGAGAUGAGAAGAAACUAGCAAAUGAGCAGAGAAGAAACAGCCAGUGACAGAGGAGAACCUAGAGAAAGCUGUGUCUUUGCUGUCGAAUAAACUGUUCCAAGGAGGCAGUGAUCAAUGGCAUCACAUACAGUCAUAAGUGAAGGAAGCUGAGGACUGAAAAUAGACCUUUGGACAUAAAUUGACAAGAACUGUUUUAGUGGCAUGUGGCAAAUGGUAGCCUCACUAGAGUUGAUUUAAAAGAGAAUAAAUGGGAAGAGGGGAAUUGAAUACAAAUCCAUUUUUGUAAGGGUUUGUUGUAAAGUAGAACAGAGAAAUGGAGUAGUAGCUGCAAGGAAAUGUAAGGGCAAGACAAAGUUUUGCUUUUAAUUUUUUUUAAGAUAGAAGAUAAUUACAAUUCAUUUUUAUGCCCAUAGUAAUGACCCAGUACAGGGAAAGAACACAGAUGUUGGGGAAGAAAGCGGACAAUUGUUAGAUUGAAGUUUUGAAUAAGUAAGUAAGAUGAGAGGAUUGUGUGAGGUAUAAGCACAGAGAAAGGCAGAGCAUGUGAAUUGUUAGUGGAUGUUGUGGUGGGAAUCUAGAAGUUCUCUUCCUGCUGCUUCUGUGUUCUCAAUGAGGUAGAAGCAAGGUCAUCAGCUACAAGAGGAUAGGGUGGAUGUACUGAAAGUUUUUUUUUUAAAUGAAGUACACACUUAUUUUAUAUGAAAUGUAUUAUGAGAUAACCAGUGAAAACUAUCUCUUACCGUAGCAAAUUUAAAAUGUUUAGUUUAGCACUUGAUGUACAGUAGAUGUCAAAAAAAUGUUUUACUGUAAAACAAAAUCGGGAUCACAUUUUCACUUAGAUUUGUGAAAUGAAAAUCCAUUAUUUCAUCCAAAACAAUUCUAUAUAACUUUAGAAUUUCUGGAGAAAUGUGUGUAUGAGAUGGGGAGACCUUUAAAAAUAAGAAGUUGGGUUGCGGAGAGUCAGAUGUGUUAUUCACCAUUACUCUCUACAUGGAUUAAAUUUAUUAGAUGACUAAUCAUAAGCAAAGAUUGUCGGCAGAACAGAGUGUGAGAAGAUCAUUUCAUCCUAUUAUUCAGCUCUCUCUUUAGGCUGAUCUCACACUCUAGUGAGGGAAGCUUCAGCAAGUUUUAUGUUGAGUUUCAUUAGUGCACAGAAUAAAGCCUGUUGUAUAUUAUUGCUUUUAAGCAAAACAAAUUAAAAUGUCUUAGCCCAGAUCAUUCUCCCAGCAUCAUCUAAUAUAAACACCCAGAAACAACUGCUGGUGAAAUCCCACAAUCUCAUCUUCACUCUGGGUUAUGAGAUGGGAAUUAGCAAUGUAACAAAAAACAUUUAAACUGGCCCCUCAAAUGUCUUUCCCUCAGAGUUCAAGGAAGUGACUUCACAAUUUAACAGAGUGUAAGAAAACUCCAACUGUAAAAAAUACUGAAUUUUGCAUCUAUUGGGAAGUAAAUGCAGAAAAUUAGUGUUGUCAUUUCCCCUUCUCAUUUACCAGUUCCCGGUGUAGUAUAUGUUUGCAAAAAAAAAUAGUAACAGCCAGAUAAAGCAGACUGUAAACCACCAAAUAACCUCUAGAAAUUUCUUUACAGUGUUGUCCUUUCAAUAUAUUAUAGCUUUUCAAUUGCUGGAUAAGUGACUUCUAACUAGAAAUAACUCAUAUUUAAUUACGUUAACAUUUUAACUUUUGAAUUUGGGAUUCACAAAUUGUGUAAAAUUACAUACGUAUAUGCAUCAUUUGCUUUUUUUUUUUAAUCAAACAACAAUGAUGUAUCUAACCAGGUGGUAAAGAAAUCAAGUCACAGGUCCAAAAUCAUAUUUGUUAGUAUGCAGCAUUUUUGCGCGGCUAAUAUUAAGCAGUGUUAAAAUCGUAAUUCAGAAAAUAUGUAGUUUUUCAAUUAUUUUCUUAUAAAUUAUUUUUAUAGUUGAAAUACUGCAUUAUUUGGUUAUUUAUAGGUGACAACCAUCUCUCAGUAUAAUAGAUUCCUUUUCUCAUAGAAAAAUUAGCUAGUAGUUCUUGUUAAAUUGGCACUGUAGUUCAGACCUACGGAUUAACUUGUGCAAUUGUAAACAUGAAAUGUCUCUAAAAUAGACUGCUUUGUGUUGAAGCCUAGAAAUUAUUUCAGUUCCUUUUAAAAGAUCAUUGCUCCGGAUAAUAAUGCACAAAUUGAGAUGUUGGGAAUCUAGUUUACCUUUUUGUUCUUCAAAGUGUUAGGCAAAAGUAUUGUUUGAUUGUUUUAAUUUUGACUGUUGGCAGUUCAAACAGCAGUUAGGGAAAAGAAGCAACACCACAGUGGUUAAAAGCAUAUGCUCUGGCAUCCACAUUCUUACAUUCAAAUCAUGACUGCACUAUCAGCAGUAAGAAGGUCAGAAAGAGUAGAAAGCUCUAUGUAAACAUUUGAUAAACAUAGUUUGUUGUUAGAGCAACAGUUCUUUACAUCUUUGGAAGCUGCUAUCAGUUUCAUGUAAUCAUCAACUGGAUAAAACAGUAUUGCUAUCCUCUGAGUUUUGGAACUUCUUGUGAAAUGGGACCAGGAAGCUAAGAGAUGGGUAGUGACAGUAAUAUGUUUGUGCUGGCUUCUAGUGGCUUGCAAGAAUUUUGUGAGCCAAUUGUCAAACAUAGUCAUUAUUAAUAAUUAAAAUAUUUAAGCUGAAAAUUGUAUUAUAUUAAAAAAAUGAUAAUAAAUAUUUUAAAAACAAACCACUUCCUGAUUAUUUUCCUACAUUUUACUAUUGUCUUUGGGAAUUGUAUUGUAUCUGGGAAUACCAUGGUGUAUUACUAUGCGUUUCUUCCCAUCUCUGUAUUCCGUGACAUCACAUUGGUAGCUCGAAUCAGUUUCGGUACAGUAUUUACACUAUGAAACUGAGCAAAUGUUGCAAAUCAAGGUUUGCCCUCACCCCUAAGAGCUGUUUGUUAAACUUUUACUUACCAUUACACUACUGGAUCAGGGUCAGAGUGUCCCACUAGUUCCUGUUAUUCUUUUGCUGAAUGUUAUCAUGAGUAAAACAGAGACUACGUUGAGGAAAGGAUUGUUAAAAAAAAAAAAAAAA